UGGGGAAUUUUGGCCAAUGGGCGCAAGCCUGAUCCAGCAAUGCCGCGUGCAGGAUGAAGGCCUUCGGGUUGUAAACUGCUUUUGUACGGAACGAAACGGCUCUUUCUAAUAAAGAGGGCUAAUGACGGUACCGUAAGAAUAAGCACCGGCUAACUACGUGCCAGCAGCCGCGGUAAUACGUAGGGUGCGAGCGUUAAUCGGAAUUACUGGGCGUAAAGCGUGCGCAGGCGGUUAUAUAAGACAGAUGUGAAAUCCCCGGGCUCAACCUGGGACCUGCAUUUGUGACUGUAUAGCUAGAGUACGGUAGAGGGGGAUGGAAUUCCGCGUGUAGCAGUGAAAUGCGUAGAUAUGCGGAGGAACACCGAUGGCGAAGGCAAUCCCCUGGACCUGUACUGACGCUCAUGCACGAAAGCGUGGGGAGCAAACAGGAUUAGAUACCCUGGUAGUCCACGCCCUAAACGAUGUCAACUGGUUGUUGGGUCUUCACUGACUCAGUAACGAAGCUAACGCGUGAAGUUGACCGCCUGGGGAGUACGGCCGCAAGGUUGAAACUCAAAUGAAUUUUGACGG
RNAcentral lists this ribosomal RNA (570 nucleotides) under uncultured beta proteobacterium. RNAcentral describes it as "bacterial SSU rRNA". It matches the Rfam family "Bacterial small subunit ribosomal RNA", at positions 355 to 916 of the family's 1533-position model. The record is from RNAcentral. Lineage: Bacteria; Pseudomonadati; Pseudomonadota; Betaproteobacteria.